Molecule: ribosomal RNA, 2526 nt
Filed under: Triticum aestivum (bread wheat)
Lineage: Eukaryota; Viridiplantae; Streptophyta; Magnoliopsida; Poales; Poaceae
Description: partial small subunit ribosomal RNA
Source: RNAcentral
AUGGCGGAGACUGUGAUUCUUCUAGCCAUUCAAAAGAUUGGAAUUGCCUUAGCAAAUGGAGCGGCAAACCAAGCCAGUGCACUGUUUGUGAAGUACGGCACGCAACUACUAGAAUUACAGCGUGGCAUGGAUCGUGUUGUGAGGGAGCUUCGUUUAAUGCAUGAAUUUCUGUGUCAAAUGGACAUUCGAAACCGCAAUAAAAAAGCAUAUGAGAUCUGGUUGGGGGAGGUACGGAAAGUAGCACAUGUGAUGGAGGACAUGGUGGAUGAGUACUUGUAUCUAGUUGGUCAGGAACAUGAUGUUGGUUUUUUCUUUUUCCUGAAGAAUGGGUUCAAAAAGCCAAGAUCUCUACUUUCUUUGAACCAGAUAGCUUUUAAGGUGAAGGAAAUAGAGAAAGACCUUUCACACCUAUCAGAGAGAAAAACCCGUUGGGUUCUCGUGAACAAUGAGGAUACAAGCAGCUCGGACUACAUUGUCAAGAGGUCCCAAGAGCUAGCAAACAUUUCACGUCGCCUUGAGGAGGAAGAUCUAGUGGGGGUCGACAAGAAUAGAGAAUUACUUCAGCAGUGGUUGGCAGGUGAUCAUUUGGAACGCUCCGUGAUAGCACUGCUUGGAAUGGGAGGGCUUGGUAAGACAGCUUUAGCUGCAAAUGUCUACAGGAAUGUGAGGGAGAAAUUUCAGUGCCAUGCAUGGGUCUCCAUCUCUCAAACUUAUUCUAGAGAAGAUGUCUUAAGGAAUAUAAUCAAGGAACUUUCUAGAGAUAAAGACAGUGUUCUAUCUAACACUGCGGAUAUGGACAUCACAUGCCUUCAAGAGACGCUAAAGAAGUUUUUGGAGCAACACAAGUAUUUGAUCAUUUUGGAUGAUAUUUGGACUCCAGAAGUAUUUAAUGAUUUAUCUAGGAUAUGUAUUCAUAAUGAGAAGGGCAGCCGGCUGCUAAUCACAACAAGGGUAGGCCGUGUUGCUGCACUUGCCUCUCAAGGGUGCAUCUUAACACUCGAAGCUUUACCCGAAGACAAGGCACGGGAUCUUUUUUGUAAGAAAGCCUUUUCAAGAGAUACGAAUUAUGAAUGUCCAGUGCAGUUGAAGCCUUUGUCUGAUGAAAUAUCUAGCAAGUGCAAAGGAUUGCCUCUUGUUAUUGUGCUAGUUGGUGGCCUCUUCCUUGUGCAUGAGAAAACUGUGGAAGAAUGGAGAAGAAUAAAUUCCCAAUUAAAUUGGGAGCUGAUUAAUAAUCCGGAGUUCGAUCACAUCAGGAAUGUUUUUCAUCUCAGCUUUAUCUAUCUUCCAACACAUUUGAAAAGUUGUGUCCUGUACUGCAGCUUAUUUCCAGAAGACUAUAUUUUGAAAAGGAAACAACUUGUGCGGUUAUGGAUCGCAGAGGGGUUCGUCCAGGAGAGAGGUGAAUGCACAUUAGAAGAAGUGGCGGAGGGAUAUCUAAAGGAGUUGACUGACAGAAACAUGCUACAACUUAUUGAGAGGAACCACUUUGGUAGGAUGAAGAAAUUCAGAAUGCACGAUCUCGUACGUGAACUGGCAGUUGAUUUGUGCAAGAAAAACUGUUUUGGUGUUAGUUAUGAGGAUCAGUGUGUGGAGUCUCUUGAGAUGGAUGGACGUCGGUUGGUGCUUCACAAACUGAAGAAGGAUAUUCAGGAGCCAUUUUCCAAUAUGCACCAACUUCGUACUGUCAUUACACUGGGCGGUAGCAAGUCAUCAUUCACUUUACUACCUCUGCUAUGCACAGAGUCAAGAUAUAUGACAGUGCUAGAAUUAAGUGGUCUACCCAUGGAGAAGAUUCCAGAUGCUAUUGGGGAUCUUUUUAAUCUCCGCCAUUUGGGUUUGCGGGGUUCAAAGGUGAAGAUGCUCCCGAAGACUAUUGAGAACCUUUCAAAUUUGUUGACACUCGACCUUUAUGAAUCUGACAUACAUAAGUUUCCCAGUGGGAUUGUGAAACUAAAGAAGCUUAGGCACUUAUUUGCUGUGAUAGUAAUUCAUCGAGAAGGAAAUUUUUCUAAAUAUGGUGUGCGUAUCCCCAAUGGUCUUGGAAAUCUAACAAACCUGCAGACGCUACAAGCAUUGGAAGCACAAGAUGAGUCUCUUAGGCAUUUAGGGGAGCUGAGGCAAAUGAGAAGCUUGAGGUUAUGGAAUGUGAAGGGAAUUUACUGUGGACGCAUCAGUGAGUCUCUAGGUCAGAUGCGGUACUUGUCCAGCCUAGAUCUGAAUGCAAGUGACGAUAGUGAGGUUCUCUUGUUGAAUGUCUGCCUGCCAAACCUGCAAAAGCUACGUUUGAUGGGGCGACUAGCGGAAGGGGUGUUGGACGAGUCUCCUCUCUUCCAAGCUGAUGGGGGGCAGAACUUGUAUUCAUUGUCUGUUAUGGUCACAACUGAGAGAAGACCCCCUGCAAUCCCUUUCUCGGUUGUCAAACUUGACAUAUCUACAGUUUACCAGAGCAUACAACGGAGAGCAGCUGGCAUUUCUCACGGGGUGGUUUCCCAAGCUAAAGAUUCUCUAUCUCGGCGGCCUGCCUAA